Molecule: ribosomal RNA, 254 nt
Filed under: uncultured bacterium
Lineage: Bacteria
Description: partial 16S ribosomal RNA
Rfam family: Bacterial small subunit ribosomal RNA
Source: RNAcentral
CACGUAGGGGCCAAACGUUGUCCGGAUUUAUUGGGCGUAAAGGGCUCGUAGGCGGUUCAACAAGUCGGUCGUGAAACUCCGGGGCUCAACCCCGGGACGCCGGUCGAAACUGUUGUGACUAGGGUCCGGUAGAGGUGAGUGGAAUUCUCGGUGUAGCGGUGGAAUGCGCAGAUAUCGAGAGGAACACCAGUUGCGAAGGCGGCUCACUGGGCCGGUACCGACGCUGAGGCACGAAAGCGUGGGGAGCAAACAGG